This 1359-nucleotide ribosomal RNA is filed under the name uncultured bacterium. Its description in RNAcentral is "bacterial SSU rRNA". It matches the Rfam family "Bacterial small subunit ribosomal RNA", at positions 28 to 1381 of the family's 1533-position model. The record is from RNAcentral.
GAUGAACGCUAGCUACAGGCUUAACACAUGCAAGUCGAGGGGCAGCAUUUCAGUUUGCUUGCAAACUGGAGAUGGCGACCGGCGCACGGGUGAGUAACACGUAUCCAACCUGCCGAUAACUCGGGGAUAGCCUUUCGAAAGAAAGAUUAAUACCCGAUGGCAUAAUUAGACCGCAUGGUCUUAUUAUUAAAGAAUUUCGGUUAUCGAUGGGGAUGCGUUCCAUUAGGCAGUUGGUGAGGUAACGGCUCACCAAACCUUCGAUGGAUAGGGGUUCUGAGAGGAAGGUCCCCCACAUUGGAACUGAGACACGGUCCAAACUCCUACGGGAGGCAGCAGUGAGGAAUAUUGGUCAAUGGGCGCAGGCCUGAACCAGCCAAGUAGCGUGAAGGAUGACUGCCCUAUGGGUUGUAAACUUCUUUUAUAUGGGAAUAAAGUUUUCCACGUGUGGAAUUUUGUAUGUACCAUAUGAAUAAGGAUCGGCUAACUCCGUGCCAGCAGCCGCGGUAAUACGGAGGAUCCGAGCGUUAUCCGGAUUUAUUGGGUUUAAAGGGAGCGUAGGUGGACAGUUAAGUCAGUUGUGGAAGUUUGCGGCUCAACCGUAAAAUUGCAGUUGAUACUGGCUGUCUUGAGUACAGUAGAGGUGGGCGGAAUUCGUGGUGUAGCGGUGAAAUGCUUAGAUAUCACGAAGAACUCCGAUUGCGAAGGCAGCUCACUGGACUGCAACUGACACUGAUGCUCGAAAGUGUGGGUAUCAAACAGGAUUAGAUACCCUGGUAGUCCACACAGUAAACGAUGAAUACUCGCUGUUUGCGAUAUACAGUAAGCGGCCAAGCGAAAGCAUUAAGUAUUCCACCUGGGGAGUACGCCGGCAACGGUGAAACUCAAAGGAAUUGACGGGGGCCCGCACAAGCGGAGGAACAUGUGGUUUAAUUCGAUGAUACGCGAGGAACCUUACCCGGGCUUAAAUUGCAUUUGAAUAUAUUGGAAACAGUAUAGCCGUAAGGCAAAUGUGAAGGUGCUGCAUGGUUGUCGUCAGCUCGUGCCGUGAGGUGUCGGCUUAAGUGCCAUAACGAGCGCAACCCUUAUCUUUAGUUACUAACAGGUCAUGCUGAGGACUCUAGAGAGACUGCCGUCGUAAGAUGUGAGGAAGGUGGGGAUGACGUCAAAUCAGCACGGCCCUUACGUCCGGGGCUACACACGUGUUACAAUGGGGGGUACAGAAGGCAGCUACCUGGUGACAGGAUGCUAAUCCCAAAAGCCUCUCUCAGUUCGGAUCGAAGUCUGCAACCCGACUUCGUGAAGCUGGAUUCGCUAGUAAUCGCGCAUCAGCCAUGGCGCGGUGAAUACGUUCCCGGGCCU